GAGGAGCCACAGGAGACAAACCUAGAUCGGGAGCAUGAAACCAGGUUCUAGAAGACCACGGAUGUCACACACUAUGGCUGUGUUCUUAGAUUGGAUCCCAGGUUCCAACGCUGUGGCUGGCCUUAGAGAAGCAGAGGGGCAGGAACCCACUGCCAGGACCUGGACAGACCCAACCUUGUCCUCCCUGGAUCCCACAGGCCCCUCUUCCCUGCCUCUCCCUGAUGCUGGCGGCUCGGGGAUGCUGCUGAGAGAGGCUGGUCCCCAGCUCUGAGAGGCUUCAAGGCAUCACCAUGGAGACGCUCCAGGCCGCCAGCCACACAAAAGGAGCUGUGAGUUCCCCAGCUCACCUGGGACUCCGAGCUAACGAGGAGGUUGCCCUCCAGAUACAGUUAUCAAAAGUUCCUCCAGCAAAGAAGCUACUUCUGGCUCCAUGGAGCCGCCUCCUGGUCCCUUGACGGGAAUACUCUUGACCGCUCUGUUGGUGACCGUGACAAACCCCAGACAAACCCCAGCACCUAAAGCUCAAGGCAGAGAAGCAAGGAUCUCACAGGCUAAGAAAUACACCUGCCUUCUGAUCCAGAGUUCCAUUUAAAGGAUUACGCUAUAAAAGCCUUACUUAUCCUGCAAAAAGACAAAUGCAUAAGGAUGUUCAAUUCGGCAUUGUUUAUAGUAAUAAAAAAUGGAAACUCAUAAAUAUCCAUGAACGAGGCAAUCUAUGAAAUCACCGUGGUACAGACACACAGUGGGAUACUACAUAUCCAUUAAAAAGAAUGAAGUGGAAAAGCAGACUGCCAUGAAAGCUCUCGAAGACACAGUCAGUAAAAAAGUAAGCCACAAAACGAUACACUCAGUGUAUUUAAAAAACAAUCUGUGUUUGCGUGGGCGGAUACACGGUUUCAAAUAAAAUAAUGUAUGUAAAAAAACUG
Molecule: long non-coding RNA, 926 nt
Organism: Panthera uncia (snow leopard)
Lineage: Eukaryota; Metazoa; Chordata; Mammalia; Carnivora; Felidae
Exons: 2
Source: RefSeq, a predicted model, not a curated record